AUGAUGCAGAGACCUCUGUUGCAAGCAUCCUCUCUCGUGUUUCAGGCAGUAUUGUGUUUUGGUCACGUUGACCGUUCAUGCUGAUACGCUCCCAAGGCUUUUCAACAAUCUUGACUAUUGCGGUGGUAACCUACAAAAAAACAGAUGAAUUUUCACAAGAACCAUAGUAAUUAAGUGUAGCUAAUCUGUAAUUAAUCAACCAAGUAUAAUAAAUUUGAUUUUGUGUCAGUAAAAAAGAACAUAAAACUCCUUUAAGUCUUGUUCCUUUUCUUUUAUCAACAGAUACCAUUUCCUGAGGUAUCCAAAUCAAAUUACUUCUACAGAAAUUACAUCCAGCAAACACGAUUAUCCAUCCGUGAUUAUUCAAUGAAAAAAUGUUUUGACCAUUUAGAUCUAAAAUACCCCUCAAUACAUCUUGUAGACCAAAAGCAAUACUAAUUAUGCCAUCAAUGGAAUUGUAAUAAUUACAAACAAUUUAUUAUCCGAACUUGAGGGACCUUAGUACCAAAUAAAUUUACCUGUGGAUAGAAUGAAGUAAAAUGCUUAGCAAGUAUAAUUGCAAAUUCCUCGACAGAAACUUGUUCUUUACACUCCUUUGCCUUCACAUAUACCUGCAAUAUCAUCAACCAGUAAGUGAUCAUACUUUAUUCUUAUUUUGUGAACAGAUCAAAGACGCCUUCUUGUCCUGACUUUACCCAUUUCCAAUCCAAUUUAGCUUAAACUAGUAUUAAGCACCCCCCGCGUUGCGGCGGGGGCGAACACCAGUGCCACACUACUGUCAGCGACCACCAACACUGAAGUUGUGGCGUGUUAAUGCGAAGAAACUAAACCGAAACGUAAAACAUAUAAAAGAAUAACUAAGUCGAUCUAGGACCCGCGCGUUACGAUGAACCUAUCAAACGGGAAAAAAUAGACGACGUAAAAACGUUUAACCACACACGCACGUUGCGCUGUGUUAACUCGCAAAAUUUAUAACGAAACGUAAAACAAAAAUUUUGCGAAAAAAUGAAAAGUAUAGAGGACCAAAGUUGAUGGUAAAAAUGUUGUGAGGUUAAAUUGCAAAAGAAGAAAAGUUCUUGGGUUAAAAUUAAAAAAAUCAAAUACUUUUGGGUUAAAAGUAAAAAAGUCAAUUUUUUUUUGGAAAACCCCCAAAGCAUAAGUUACAACGCCUUUAUGCCUAAACAUGUCGAAAAUUAUAGUAUUGGGUAAUGGGUAAUUUGGGGAUUUUUGCCCUAAUUUGACAUUCGUAAAUGUAAGCAAGUUAUUCGACAUCUCUAAGCCCUAGUGUUGUAAAAAUCUAGACUAAUCACCGAUGAAUCUGAAUUUCACCUUGUCGGACCUACUAAUCGAUAGGCGGUCAAACUCGGACCACUUCCGUCCAUGGUUUUUUGAAGUAUUUGAAUUGAACUAAUAUGCUAACGUUUGAGCUUUUACGUACUUGAUUUGUUAUGUUAAAGUACCUUUGUGAACUUUGAAGUAUUAUAUCCAGAUCUAUGUGUGUGUAUAUACAUAAUUUGAAAACUACAUAUAAAAAUUCCAAAAAAAAAUCCAAUCCUAUUAAUCAAUAUCAAUCCCAAUUAUUCGCUAAUCGGUACUUCACUAGCCGAUAAGCGCCUAGCUAUUGUCACAAGCCCUAAAUCACUUCUUAUUGUUUUGCAUGUGAUGUGAUCGGAAACUAGAUCUAGCAUAAUCACCUACAUAGAGUUCAAUUCUAAAACAAGCAGAUCGUAAACAACAACAUCGAAUACAUACAUACAUACAUACAAAUCAAAUCAAUCACAUAAACAAAACAGUAAGCAGUAAAACAGAUCACGUACAGUGUUUUUCAUCGUAUCCGUUGCGACGAUAUCGGAAUUAUCAGCACUCACAUACGCAUUAACACAAUCAGAAAGUAAACUGAUACUAACGUUCCAUUCAACGAAGUUAUGGCGGUUAUCACCGGAUCUCCAAACCCUACCGACUCUAACACGCUCCUUUCCAUGCCUCUGCUCGAAGAUGUUUCCGCCGAUUUGGAUUUGAUCUUUGGUGGUCGCCAUGUGCGUUGUGUUAAUCGAGUUGGAAAAUUGUUCUCCAGGUCCCACAGUCACACUCAAGUGUAUGUUGUACAGUUUUGGAU
RNAcentral lists this long non-coding RNA (2116 nucleotides) under Helianthus annuus (common sunflower). Its description in RNAcentral is "hypothetical non coding rna". The record is from RNAcentral. Lineage: Eukaryota; Viridiplantae; Streptophyta; Magnoliopsida; Asterales; Asteraceae.